UUGUUAUGAUGAAGUCCUUAGGACUAUUUAGAUUCGAUAAAGAGAAGAUUUAUCGAUUAGUCCUUAAAACUGUUCACGACCAAAUGAUAGGCUGUUAAUAAGGACGACAGCUUCUAUCGAGCAUAGGUCGCUGUAGGCCAUAUGGGUUGGUUGUCCUCUUAAUCAAGGAGUGUGGAGAUACUGGUAUGGCAUACAGGUG
This 199-nucleotide long non-coding RNA is filed under the name Elaeis guineensis (African oil palm). Its description in RNAcentral is "long non-coding RNA (EGUI_LNC039391)". Lineage: Eukaryota; Viridiplantae; Streptophyta; Magnoliopsida; Arecales; Arecaceae. The record is from RNAcentral.